RNAcentral lists this ribosomal RNA (247 nucleotides) under uncultured bacterium. RNAcentral describes it as "partial 16S ribosomal RNA". It matches the Rfam family "Bacterial small subunit ribosomal RNA", at positions 523 to 769 of the family's 1533-position model. The record is from RNAcentral.
AAACGUAGGAGGCUAGCGUUAUCCGGAUUUAUUGGGCGUAAAGCGCGUGCAGGCGGUCUGGUAAGUUGGAUGUGAAAGCUCCUGGCUUAACUGGGAGAGGUCGUUCAAUACUGUCAGACUAGAGAAUGGGAGAGGGAGGUGGAAUUCCGGGUGUAGUGGUGAAAUGCGUAGAUAUCCGGAGGAACACCAGUGGCGAAAGCGGCCUCCUGGACCACUUCUGACGCUAAGACGCGAAAGCUAGGGUAGC